GCCCGCUCAGGAUCGCACCUGGAGAGUUUCCGGUCCUCUACCAGUCUCAGCUAUGGGAGGGAGAGUCAAGCAGAGGCAGACCCACUCCAUUCCUAGCUUGGACAGUGGCUAGCAAGUGGAAGGCAAUCUGCUACAAGU
This is a small nucleolar RNA of Tachyglossus aculeatus (Australian echidna), 138 nucleotides long. Lineage: Eukaryota; Metazoa; Chordata; Mammalia; Monotremata; Tachyglossidae. The record is from RefSeq and is a predicted model, not a curated record.